CCCUGGAGACAGAAGGUCCACAAAGGCAGGGGGCUCUGUGUGCUCCGUGCAUUCCCGUGGCCCAACGCUGACCUCUGUCCUUAUUCCAUAAAUAUCUGUGGAAGAAUGAAUGAAUGAAUGAAUGAGCCAUAGGAGAAAGAGUUUUUCCUCAUUGAAAGGUGGGGCUCUGAGAGCGGCUAGCCUUGGAGAGGUGCUCACUUGCCUUGGGCCUGGACGGUUUCCUUGGGGCAGCCCCCAAAGUACAUUUACUGGGCCUGGGAGCGUGUUCUUCCUAAGGCUCCGGAUACACAGCACCGCAUGCCGACUUCCACCCAGGCGAUGUUCAUUUCCGCUCGCCCUGGACGGAGGCGUCCAUUCACCCAACCGCCGUCUUCUGGUUUAAGAACCAAAAUUUGACAAUUUUGCACAACUGGCACUCCCUGACGUGGCCCCGCUCCCCCUGUCACCACUGUGCAUGCUCCGAGACGAAACGUCAGGGCUCAGUGCCCCCUUCCGUGGAUCAAGUCUCCAAAAGCCAAUAUUGGGCCCCAACCAUGCCCUUCUAGGCAUUUAAAACUAGCAGCGAGUGACGAGGGAGCCCAUGCCAAGUCUGUCACCAGCAAGCCAGCACCUCCGGCAUCCGGGCUGUGCCAAGCUGAACCUCCCCCACGCGGCUCAGCACCAGCCAGGGCUGAGCAAAGCCCGGCUCCUGCCAGCAGUUGUUACUGGAAGUUUAUGCAAAACCAAACCGCAGAAACAAUCUCCCCCAGCCGGGAUCCUGUUUCCUCUUCCUGACAACCCUAAGAUUUAGCCCAGGCGGGUGAUCGGGGAGGGCUCUGGGGGGUAGGGGUGAGAUGAAGAAACCGCCUGAGCUCCGUGGUUAGGCCAAGGUGGUGGGGGCUGGAGCCCGCCCUCGGGCGAUGUUUGUGCUCCACAAGGCGGCCUCACUGCUCCGAUGGCAGCCACUGGGACGCCCCCGGAAGCCGGCUGACGCCAGGGGCCAGUCACACUCCCAGACGCAACCACGUAAAGGGUGAGCCAGCGCGGGUUGAUCAGCAGCCCUCUCUAUGGUAUGACCAGCAACGUUGACAGGAGUGACUUUAUUUUUAAAAUAUAAAUGAGAAGCCAUCCAAGAUUCUCCCCAUAUUUUCCUCUCUCCCCACAUCCUUGGAUACUUUCUUCAAUAGCAAGAAAUAUGGCGGUGGAGUUAUCGAGCUUGGGGCCAAACUCAGCCCAGAGGUCUCGUGUGAACCUCACCCUGAACACAGGAGGCGGGGAAUAGCUUCAUAUCCACAAGGUUCUCUGUGACAUUCUAUUUUUUUGUUUCUUUUUUUAGAGACAGACAGACAGCGCAAGUGGGGGAGAGGGGCAAAGGACAGAGAGAGGGAGAGAGAAUCUUAAGCAGACUCCACCCUCAGCCCGGAGCGCAAAAGGGGGCUCGAUCUAAUGACCCCAGGAUCACGACCUGAGCUGAAAUCAAGAGUUGGAUGCUUCACCCACCGAGCCACCCAGGCACCCCUAGUGACAUUCUAUUUUUAAAUCCCUGCUUCUAAAAGGGGGCAUCAUGGGGCAUCAUGGUUCCUAAGCGUGUCAGCGGAAAGAUUAGACUUGCCUUGAAAGUCUGCCCUUCCUGUUUUUCGUCUUUCCACAUGAGGAGGUAAUGAAAACAAAUUUCAAAAACAUGUCAAAGGGGAAAGUCAGUUUCUGAGACCCACGGUCCUGGCCUCCCCGACCAGAGUCGGUACCCAGGAUGGCGAGAAGAGGAAGGUGACAGUGGCUCAAAA
This is a long non-coding RNA of Leopardus geoffroyi (Geoffroy's cat), 1763 nucleotides long. RefSeq lists it as uncharacterized. NCBI's taxonomy places the organism in Eukaryota, Metazoa, Chordata, Mammalia, Carnivora, Felidae. The record is from RefSeq and is a predicted model, not a curated record. The transcript has 3 exons.